GACGACGCUGGCGGCGUGCUUAACACAUGCAAGUCGAACGAUGAAGCCCAGCUUGCUAGGUGGAUUAGUGGCGAACGGGUGAGUAAUACGUGAGUAACCUACCUUUAACUCUGGGAUGAGCCUGGGAAACUGGGUCUAAUACCGGAUACGACCAAUCUCCGCAUGGGGUGUUGGUGGAAAGCGUUAUGUAGUGGUUAUAGAUGGGCUCACGGCCUAUCAGCUUGUUGGUGAGGUAACGGCUCACCAAGGCGACGACGGGUAGCCGGCCUGAGAGGGUGACCGGCCACACUGGGACUGAGACACGGCCCAGACUCCUACGGGAGGCAGCAGUGGGGAAUAUUGCACAAUGGGCGCAAGCCUGAUGCAGCGACGCCGCGUGAGGGAUGACGGCCUUCGGGUUGUAAACCUCUGUUAGCAGGGAAGAAGAGAGAUUGACGGUACCUGCAGAGAAAGCGCCGGCUAACUACGUGCCAGCAGCCGCGGUAAUACGUAGGGCGCGAGCGUUGUCCGGAAUUAUUGGGCGUAAAGAGUUUGUAGGCGGUUUGUCGCGUCUGCUGUGAAAGGCCGGAGCUUAUCUCCGUGUAUUGCAGUGGGUACGGGCAGACUAGAGUGCAGUAGGGGAGACUGGAAUUCCUGGUGUAGCGGUGGAAUGCGCAGAUAUCAGGAGGAACACCGAUGGCGAAGGCAGGUCUCUGGGCUGUAACUGACGCUGAAGAAGCGAAAGCAUGGGGAGCGAACAGG
RNAcentral lists this ribosomal RNA (741 nucleotides) under Rothia mucilaginosa. Its description in RNAcentral is "bacterial SSU rRNA". It matches the Rfam family "Bacterial small subunit ribosomal RNA", at positions 28 to 776 of the family's 1533-position model. The record is from RNAcentral. Lineage: Bacteria; Bacillati; Actinomycetota; Actinomycetes; Micrococcales; Micrococcaceae.